This 253-nucleotide ribosomal RNA is filed under the name uncultured bacterium. Its description in RNAcentral is "partial 16S ribosomal RNA". It matches the Rfam family "Bacterial small subunit ribosomal RNA", at positions 524 to 776 of the family's 1533-position model. The record is from RNAcentral.
GACGAACCGUGCGAACGUUGUUCGGAAUCACUGGGCUUAAAGGGCGCGUAGGCGGGCCGGCAAGUCAGGGGUGAAAUCCCACGGCUCAACCGUGGAAGUGCCUUUGAUACUGCCGGUCUGGAGGGAGGUAGGGGCGUGCGGAACUUCCGGUGGAGCGGUGAAAUGCGUAGAUAUCAGGAGGAAUACCGAUGGCGAAGGCAGGUCUCUGGGCUGAUACUGACGCUCAUGCACGAAAGCGUGGGGAGCAAACAGG